RNAcentral lists this long non-coding RNA (516 nucleotides) under Calidris pugnax (ruff). RNAcentral describes it as "lncRNA (ENSCPUG00000011778.1)". The record is from RNAcentral. Lineage: Eukaryota; Metazoa; Chordata; Aves; Charadriiformes; Scolopacidae.
UUGUUGAUCUAGAGGAUCAGUUUCUAAUGUUUCCUUCUCACUGCAAACAGAGAGUCAACCAGGUUUCACAGAAUAUUGUGUAGCAGCACAAUACACCAGCAUCCUUCUCUGAAGGUCCAUAAAGCCCUGGGACCGCCUAGAAGAACUGGCAGCUGAACUAUGAGUUAUGUUCAGGAUGAAGAUGAUGCUUGGACUGUAACUUCCAGAAUUUGUCAUUGAAGCAAACAGUUUCAGAAGAUGCAUAAGGAGAACACACAGAACAAUGGUGCGAGCUUUCCAGUCAGAAUUGGAAAGCAAAACAGGGAUUAAUUCUCAGCAACAAAAACGUAAAGAAGUGGAGUGGAACCCUGAGGAGCAGAUGGAGCUGGGAGAGAUGCAUGGAUAUAUCUACAUUGAGAACCCCUUGGAAUAUCUUUACUGUUAGGACAGAGUUGUCUUUGCUGUUGUAGGUUGCCAGAUGUUUAGAAGGGAGGCAGGUCAACCAUGAUCUACUGUUUAAGAGCAGCGUAGACUUAG